AACCCUAAACCCUGAAGCGAGAUUGUGGUGGGAAGCUUAGGAGAGUGCAGAAAAUGUGUAGCCUUCAACCUGAGGUUGUGGCCAACCGUGGCUACGAGCUCCGUCUCAUUCGCUGCACCCUCAAUCCUUCGCCGCCGUCGGAUCCCAGUCAUGAACGUGAACCGUUGGAUGGCCUCAUCAAGGACCUCUUGAAUUCCAUCGAGUGUGGCAACUACGUGGAAGCACUCACCUCCCAACCCUCUUCCUCACUCGUUUUCCGACUCGGCCAUGACUCGCCGCCCCUCGACACCGCCGAGCGCUUCUACUCCGAGUUGGUUGACCGCGCCGAGUCCUUUAUCGGAGAUGCUUCCCCUAACGCCGGCGAACAAGCUCGCAGGGCGAUACUCGUCAUGUGCAUCGCCGUCGCUGCAUUUCUAGGGUUCACUCAAUGUAACUUCACCGGGCCUUUGAAGGGGUCGGUGCUACCGAGAUGUCCUUUGCCUGUGGAUGGUGGUGACGAACGCGUAGAAUGGGACAAUUGGGCGCGCAAUCAGCUUAUGUCUGCUGGUUCCGACUUGCUUGGAAAGUUCUCGAAUCUUCAGUAUAUAGUUUUUGCCAAGAUGUUACUUGUGCGGAUGAAAGAUUUAUCAAUUGAGAUUAGAAGCCUUUCUUGGUGGCUUGCGAGGGUUUUGCUUCUUCAACAGAGAAUUUUGGAUGAGCGGUCUUCUUCUUUGUUUGAUCUCUUGCAAGUCUAUAUGGGGGAAGCUUUACGGAAAUUUGACACUUCGGAACAAGUUCAGAGUUACUGGGAUGCUGAUUUACGUGAUGGAGAGAGCUUGACGAUUGUUUCUAUGCUUCAUGUAGAGGCUGGCAUUAUGGAAUAUGUUUAUGGACGAGUUGACUCUUGCAGGACACAUUUUGAGUCAGCUGAGUUGGCAGCUGGGCUUCAGCUUUCAGUCACUGGGGUACUUGGUUUCCGUACUGUACAUCAGGCAGAACCAAAGGCACAGAUGGUACUUGUUACCAACACAAGUUCAUCAAAUAAUGCGGAUAACUGCCGCGUAAUGGGUGCUGGCAUCCAAACACAUGAUUCCAACAAUGGUGAAUAUAACUGGCAUCUGCAUCAAUGUGAAACCUCUGAAGCAUCAGACAUACUUAGAAUACCAAAGUUGUUAGACAAUGUGGAUGACUCUAAUACUAGAACACAAGCCAAGGAAAAUGGUGCCUGUGAUACUCCCAGUUUGUCAGCAACACAACAAGCUGUGAUUCUGGCAUAUUGCACUCUAAUUGAGAAGAGCUCCCGACAUGAUGAGUUGCAGCGGUGGGAUAUGGCUCCUUACAUUGAGGCAAUUGAUUCCCAGCAUUUGUUUUACUUCACUAUACGGUGUUUAAGUGAUAUUUUGCGUAUACGUUGGGAGUCAUCCCGUACCCGAACUAAGGAGCGUGCCUUAUUGAUGAUGGAUAACUUGGUUAAACGGAUUUACGAAUCUUCUCCACCGAUGGCAGAAAGAAUUGCUUUUAGUUAUGCUGUUUAUAUGCCUAGUAUUCCUGCAUUAAGAAAGGAAUAUGGGUUACUUUUGGUGCGGUGCGGUUUGAUAGGGGAGGCAGUGAAGGAGUUUGAAGAUUUAGAAUUAUGGGACAAUCUUAUAUACUGCUACAGUUUGUUGGAGAAGAAAGCAACAGCUGUUGAACUCAUCAGGAAAUGUCUUUCAGAGAGACCAAAUGACCCCAGGUUAUGGUGCUCUCUGGGUGACACUACCACUAACGAUGCAUGCUAUGAAAAAGCACUGGAAGUUUCCAACAAUAAGUCUGCUAGAGCGAAGCGUUCUCUGGCUCGCAGUGCAUACAACAAAGGAGACUAUGAGACAUCUAAAAUUUUGUGGGAGUCUGCAAUGUCAAUGAACUCAUUGUAUCCAGAUGGUUGGUUUGCACUUGGGGCUACUGCUUUGAAGGCUCGUGAUAUUCAAAAGGCUCUGGAUGCAUUUACUCGUGCUGUUCAACUUGAUCCUGAAAAUGGGGAAGCUUGGAAUAACAUUGCUUGCCUGCAUAUGAUCAAGAAAAAGAGCAAGGAGGCAUUCAUUUCAUUUAAAGAAGCCUUGAAAUUCAAGCGAAACAGCUGGCAACUAUGGGAGAACUACAGCCAUGUUGCUGUUGACGUUGGCAAUAUUAGUCAGGCCCUGGAAGGUAUCCGAAUGGUUUUGGACAUGACAGAUAAUAAGAGAGUAGAUACUGAAUUAUUAGAAAGAAUCACAAGGGAGGUGGAAAAUCGGCUUCGAACAAGUAAUUUGUCUCCUUUGACAACUAAUAAUAAUCCUGAAACAGAUCAAGUCUCCGUUUCUGGAUCAGAAAAUCAACAGCAAUUAUCUGGAGCAUCUCUUGUAGGAACAUCACGUGAAACUGAACAAUUAUUGUUGUUACUUGGAAAAGUUUUACAACAGGAUCAAACUGUCAGAUGCCAGUGACAGACUGACAGUGUAAUUCAAUGAUGUGUUUGCUCUGCAAGUUAAAUAUAGGUUUUGCUGGCUAAAGAUAUGCAAGUUACAGAUGUCCAGGUUAACAUUUAAUACUGUGAUACAGAUAGUUAAGAGUGGGAGUGGAUGCGGACCUGAUGUCUGGGGCUUAUAUGCCAAAUGGCACAGAAUUAAUGGAGAUCUCAUGAUGUGUUCUGAAGCCCUCUUAAAGCAAGUUAGGUCACUCCAGGGAUCUGAUACGUGGAAUGACCGAGAUCGUUUCAAAAAGUUUGCAAAAGCAUCUUUGGAACUUUGCCAGGUGUAUGUGGAAAUUUCCUCAUCCACUGGUAGUAUUAAACAAUUGUUUACGGCUGAGAUGCACUUGAAGAAUGUCGUCAGACAGGCUCAGAGCUUCUCCGAUACAGAAGAGUUCAGGGAUCUUCAGGCUUGCUAUGAUGAAGUGAAAGUUAAACUGAACUCAAUGCCUAGCUAAAAUCUUGUUGAAGGUAUUAUUUGGAUUUAUUACGUAAGCUCUAACCUAAAUAUUCGAUCUGGUGUCAUUUUGUUGGGACUGAGCACACUGAACCUGCAGAGGCAUAUAUUUAUUUAGAAUGGCUGUGACCUGUUUUCUCAUCAGUAGGGAAGGUCAAGAUGUUGCUUUCAGAAUCCUGAAUGUGGCAAUAUCACCAAUUGGUGUUAAAGGACGUGCCUUGUAUCAUAUCGUGUAAAUUACAUAUUUUGAGCACUAUCUAAUUGAAGUGCAAUUUUUGUCAAAUUAUAUCAUUUUGGAACAUAGGUUAUAUUUCAAUUAUUUUAUUU
Molecule: RNA transcript, 3248 nt
Organism: Abrus precatorius (Indian licorice)
Lineage: Eukaryota; Viridiplantae; Streptophyta; Magnoliopsida; Fabales; Fabaceae
Gene name: tetratricopeptide repeat protein 27 homolog
Exons: 20
Source: RefSeq, a predicted model, not a curated record